AUUGAACGCUGGCGGCAGGCCUAACACAUGCAAGUCGAGCGGGGGAAGGUAGCUUGCUACCGGACCUAGCGGCGGACGGGUGAGUAAUGCUUAGGAAUCUGCCUAUUAGUGGGGGACAACAUCUCGAAAGGGAUGCUAAUACCGCAUACGUCCUACGGGAGAAAGCAGGGGAUCUUCGGACCUUGCGCUAAAAGAUGAGCCUAAGUCGGAUUAGCUAGUUGGUGGGGUAAAGGCCUACCAAGGCGACGAUCUGUAGCGGGUCUGAGAGGAUGAUCCGCCACACUGGGACUGAGACACGGCCCAGACUCCUACGGGAGGCAGCAGUGGGGAAUAUUGGACAAUGGGGGGAACCCUGAUCCAGCCAUGCCGCGUGUGUGAAGAAGGCCUUAUGGUUGUAAAGCACUUUAAGCGAGGAGGAGGCUACUCUAGUUAAUACCUAGGGAUAGUGGACGUUACUCGCAGAAUAAGCACCGGCUAACUCUGUGCCAGCCGCCGCGGUAA
RNAcentral lists this ribosomal RNA (501 nucleotides) under uncultured bacterium. Its description in RNAcentral is "partial 16S ribosomal RNA". It matches the Rfam family "Bacterial small subunit ribosomal RNA", at positions 30 to 523 of the family's 1533-position model. The record is from RNAcentral.